GUGCUUGCUUCAGCAGCGCGUAGGCUAAAGUUGGAACAACACGGAGAAUAGUAGCAUGGCCCCUGCACGUAGAUGACACACAAAAUUAAAUAGGUAACAGUGGUGUCC
RNAcentral lists this small nuclear RNA (108 nucleotides) under Lynx canadensis (Canada lynx). Lineage: Eukaryota; Metazoa; Chordata; Mammalia; Carnivora; Felidae. The record is from RNAcentral.